This 484-nucleotide ribosomal RNA is filed under the name uncultured bacterium. Its description in RNAcentral is "partial 16S ribosomal RNA". It matches the Rfam family "Bacterial small subunit ribosomal RNA", at positions 29 to 507 of the family's 1533-position model. The record is from RNAcentral.
AGUGAACGCUGGCGGCAGGCCUAACACAUGCAAGUCGAGCGGCAGCGCGGGGGCAACCCUGGCGGCGCGCGGCGGACGGGUGAGGAAUUCGUCGGAAUCUGCCUUUUUGUGGGGGAUAACGUAGGGAAACUAACGCUAAUACCGCAUACGUCCUACGGGAGAACGUGGGGGACCGCAAGGCCUCACGCAGAAAGAUGAGCCGACGACCGAUUAGCUAGUUGGUGGGGUAAAGGCCCACCAAGGCGACGAUCGGUAGCUGGUCUGAGAGGAUGAGCAGCCACACUGGAACUGAGACACGGCCCAGACUCCUACGGGAGGCAGCAGUGGGGAAUAUUGGACAAUGGGCGCAAGCCUGAUCCAGCCAUGCCGCGUGUGUGAAGAAGGCCUUCGGGUUGUAAAGCACUUUUGUCCGGAAAGAAAUCCCUGGAGCUAAUACCUUCGGGGGAUGACGGUACCGGAAGAAUAAGCACCGGCUAACUUCGUG